This 72-nucleotide transfer RNA is filed under the name Cavia porcellus (domestic guinea pig). It matches the Rfam family "tRNA". From Rfam's summary of the family: Transfer RNA (tRNA) molecules are approximately 80 nucleotides in length. Their secondary structure includes four short double-helical elements and three loops (D, anti-codon, and T loops). Lineage: Eukaryota; Metazoa; Chordata; Mammalia; Rodentia; Caviidae. The record is from Rfam by way of RNAcentral.
GGGGAUAUAGCUGAAUGGUUCAGUGCGUGCCUGGCAAGCAUGAGGUCCUGAAUUUGAAUCCUGAUUUCCCCC